CAGCCGCCACGGUAAUACGUAGGUGGCAAGCGUUGUCCGGAAUUAUUGGGCGUAAAGCGCGCGCAGGCGGAUCAGUUAGUCUGUCUUAAAAGUUCGGGGCUUAACCCCGUGAGGGGAUGGAAACUGCUGAUCUAGAGUAUCGGAGAGGAAAGUGGAAUUCCUAGUGUAGCGGUGAAAUGCGUAGAUAUUAGGAAGAACACCAGUGGCGAAGGCGACUUUCUGGACGAAAACUGACGCUGAGGCGCGAAAGCCAGGGGAGCGAACGGGAUUAGAUACCCCUGUAGUCCCUGUCUCUUAUACA
This 301-nucleotide ribosomal RNA is filed under the name uncultured bacterium. Its description in RNAcentral is "partial 16S ribosomal RNA". It matches the Rfam family "Bacterial small subunit ribosomal RNA", at positions 509 to 809 of the family's 1533-position model. The record is from RNAcentral.